Molecule: unclassified non-coding RNA, 924 nt
Filed under: Homo sapiens (human)
Lineage: Eukaryota; Metazoa; Chordata; Mammalia; Primates; Hominidae
Description: family with sequence similarity 66 member D (ENSG00000292281.1)
Source: RNAcentral
AUGCGCGGUCCUGCCUCCCGCGGCGGGCCGGGUCUCCAGGGAGGACCUGAGUUUUCUUCACCCAUUGUCAGGAAGGCGCCAUCGCCCUGGCUUUUGGGGCUGGGGCCUCCGGGGAGGUUCCGGUAGGGGCGUUGGAGAGGCCCGCUCUUUUUGCAAGGCCCGAGACGGCGGGCCCUGCGCAGGCCGCCCUAUUUCCGCGCGCCCUCAGGGCGUCAGUAUCAGCCUGAGGCUGGAUACCCCCGCUGGCCCCGGAUGCCCCCGCUGGGCCCGGAGCAUCCUCCGGCGCUGCCCUCCCAGAGCCACGCAGAGGCUGAGGUGGCGCGGGGGCGGCCCCGGCUCCGCGAGAAGCGGCGGCAGCGAGGGCUGGAGGACCCGGGCUGCGGGGCUCCGGGGCGUCUGGCCUGGGUGGGACUGAGCCCAUCCAGGGACUGGGACUCUGGGAUUCUGGUGUAGGUGGAUCCGGGGCAGGCUCAGGACCAAGUCCCUCUCCUUCCACCAAGGAGCGCCCAGAGGCCGGCGGGAGCUCCAGGUUCACCUCCUCCUCCUCCAGCUUGACUACCACACAAAUGAAUCCAUUCAAAUGUUGGCAAGUGGAGCAGAGUCCCAGGACAGGUGCUGGAGCAGCCCCCCUGGAAGCGAUGCAGCAUCCAGGAAGAUGGAGGAAGGGGCGGAGAGGGACCUCUGCUUUCCAGGCUGCCUUUUAUACUGCCUCUGGUCACCUGACAUGGAACGUACCCUAACCUAAUCAGUUACAUGAGGCGCUUGGAAACCACCGUCAAUUGGACCGCACUGGGAAACACAGAUGAACAAAGUCAACACCGCUUUGUCCUUCAGUGCCUGGCUCCUUUUUCAGCUCUUCUUGCGACUCCAGGUAUUGGAGUCCAAGGAGGGGUACGUCGCCUUUACCCUGUGCUUGCCACGAUC